GCUCAUUUCUUUUCUUCUUCUCUCUAUACGUUGGUGUUCUAACCAAUAAUCACCGAUGCGAUAUUCUGUCCGAUCGAUUCAGGAACCAACUAACGGAUGCCAAAGUGCUAUACUUUGAGAGUUCGUUAAACGGAUGCCAAAGUACUAUACUUUGUGAGUUCGUUAAACGGAUGCCAAAGUACUAUACUUUGUGAUUUCGGUAAACGGAAUCCAAAGUGUUACACUAUGUGAAAUUCAUUAAGGUUGGAAUCUCGUGACUACCGUUAAGGUUUGAUUUGGGUUUUACACAAAUACGUAUUCCAUUCUGUUAAACUAUAUGUUUAACUACCGAAAAUACUUUCCACUACACACUCACAAUCAAACAAACUAUUAAAAUCAUCAGAAGAUCCAGAAUAAUAAAGUGCAUGCUUAAUUAUCGGAAGAAGUAGAAUCAAGAAGUUUGUUAACUCAAUCCUGCAUGCUGAUUAGGAUUAAGUCUAUGUAAUCACCAUAUUACAGCCGGUAUGUGGGGUUUUGUAUACAUUACUUAUUUCCCAUCACACUUGGACAACGAGUUAGCCAAGGGGUGAUCUGACCACAGUCACAGACACCAUUUGGACAACGAGAUAGCCAAUGGGUAGUCGAGUGACAAGUACUGUGGGUAGUUGGUUUGAUAUCAGAAACAUUGUAAUUCCCCUUAAUACUGUAAAUUAUAACAAUUCUGUUUUUAUAAAACCUGAAUGAACUCACUCAGUAUUUCCCGCUGACAAAACCUUUUUAAAACGCGUUUCAGGUAAUUACAGUAGAUUGGGGUAAGAAUUGGAUCCAGCACUGAAGAACUUCAAGAAGUGGUUUAUUUUAUUAAAUAAAUCAACUUAAGAAAUAUUGUUUUUGGGUUUAUCCCGUAUUAAAAGCUACCUUUGUAAAACAUGGAAUUUAUUCCAUCUAUUUAAAUAAAAUCCGGUGUUUCUAAACUCUGAUAUUUUUCCUAACUCACGGUCCUGAUAAAAUUUCCGCUGCAAUGUUUUUCAAAAUAAUCACCGGUACCACUGGACUGCUCGCGGCUUCCGUUUCCGUCCAGGAUGGGUUCGGGGUCGUGACAGUUGUUCACUUGAAAUGGACAAUUUGGCGCCGUUCCGUUUCGUUGAGCAAGAAAUAAUGGAGAUUGUUGCAGCACGUUGAUGUCGUUUUGUGAACCCGCCGGGCCACAAAAAGCAUGCCAAAUCCACAAAUCUUGAGACGCCACCGCUUCUAACAUAACCGUCGGGUAUUGAUGAUCGCCUCUCAUGUAUUGUCCGCGCAAUUCUGUGGGGCACAUUCUCCAGACGAAGUGUGUACAAUGCAGACUACCCAACAUACCAGGGAGGUGAUGCCUCUCCUUAUGAGCAUGAUACAAUAGCGCAACGUCGUGGCUCGUUGGUCUACGUAGGAAUUCACCGACAUACCUUUUACAGACCGUCUCGCAGAAUAUUCAAGGCACUCACGAGAGGUCCUUUCAGACAUAUUUAAAUACUCGUCCCCCUCGUCUGGUGGGUUACCGGUUGCAAGUUGUUUAAUCGCCGAAGUAACCUUUUGUA
Molecule: long non-coding RNA, 1556 nt
Filed under: Helianthus annuus (common sunflower)
Lineage: Eukaryota; Viridiplantae; Streptophyta; Magnoliopsida; Asterales; Asteraceae
Description: hypothetical non coding rna
Source: RNAcentral